CCUACGGGAGGCAGCAGUAGGGAAUCUUCCACAAUGGGCGAAAGCCUGAUGGAGCAACGCCGCGUGAGUGAUGAAGGCCUUCGGGUUGUAAAACUCUGUCAUUCGGGACGAACCGGAGUCUGAGGAAAUGCAGACUCUCUGACGGUACCGGAGGAGGAAGCCCCGGCUAACUACGUGCCAGCAGCCGCGGUAAUACGUAGGGGGCAAGCGUUGUCCGGAUUCACUGGGCGUAAAGCGCGCGCAGGCGGUGAUGUAAGUCUGAGGUGAAAACCCGAAGCUCAACUUCGGGACUGCCUUGGAUACUGCGUCACUUGAGGAUAGGAGAGGCAAGGGGAAUUCCACGUGUAGCGGUGAAAUGCGUAGAGAUGUGGAGGAACACCUGUGGCGAAGGCGCCUUGCUGGCCUAUUUCUGACGCUGAGGCGCGAAAGCGUGGGGAGCAAACAGGAUUAGAUACCCUGGUAGUCCACGCUGUAAACGAUGAGUGCUAGGUGUAGGUGGGCUCAUACCCAUCUGUGCCGAAGCUAACGCAUUAAGCNCNCCGCCGNGGGUAGGUACGGUCGCGACGACGUAGAAACGUUAAAGUUAGUAAGUUAGUUACGGCGUUGAGGACGUUGGCCGACGGACGACGACGAGGGGAGGUUAGGG
This 646-nucleotide ribosomal RNA is filed under the name uncultured bacterium. Its description in RNAcentral is "bacterial SSU rRNA". The stretch from base 1 to 544 matches the Rfam family "Bacterial small subunit ribosomal RNA", at positions 338 to 873 of the family's 1533-position model. The record is from RNAcentral.